Molecule: non-coding RNA, 72 nt
Organism: Nematostella vectensis (starlet sea anemone)
Lineage: Eukaryota; Metazoa; Cnidaria; Anthozoa; Actiniaria; Edwardsiidae
Source: Rfam
GGCUCAGUGGUCUAGUGGUAUGAUUCUCGCUUUGGGUGCGAGAGGCCACGUGUUCGAUUCCCGUCUGAGCCC